AUGAGAUACCUUGGACUCCCGCUGUCCGUCAAGUGUCUCGAGAGGAUCCAUUUUCAACACCUUGAGGAUAAAGUCGCUGGCAAGCUCCCUCCUUGGCAGGGAAGACAUGUUGCUACUGCUGGUCGGGUUGUUCUUGUCAAAGUUGUCCUCACUGCCAUCGCCAUUUACCAUAUUACGCCGCUUGAUAUCCCGGUGGAGGUUCUCAAGAAGAUUGACCGUAUUCGUCGCACCUAUCUUUGGGCAGGAGCCGACAAGGUUUCCGGUGGGAAAUGCAAAGUUAAUUGGGACCUUGUUUGCAAGCCUAAGAAACAUGGUGGCCUGGGUGUGCUCAAUUUGGACAAAUUUUCCAAGACUCUUAGGCUUCGGUGGCUCUGGUUUGAAUGGAAAGAGCCCACAAAACCAUGGAAUUGUAUGGGCACGCCAUGUACGGACAAGGACAAAGAUUUGUUUGCGACUGCCACUACAGUCACGGUUGGCAAUGGGCGUACGGCCAAAUUCUGGAACUCCUCUUGGCUGAAUGGUUUGCGCCCGCGUGAUAUUGACCUCACAUCUUUGAGCUAUCCAAAAAGAAAAACUGCUCGGUCCAACAAGCUUUAA
RNAcentral lists this ribosomal RNA (597 nucleotides) under Triticum aestivum (bread wheat). RNAcentral describes it as "partial small subunit ribosomal RNA". The record is from RNAcentral. Lineage: Eukaryota; Viridiplantae; Streptophyta; Magnoliopsida; Poales; Poaceae.